ACUACCAUAAAUAACUACCAUACAUGAGACACAAUCCAAUACACAAAUUAUCUAUGGAUAGCCUUGCCAAGCCUCACCCAACCCCGGGUGAGGAGGACGAAAAACUCUAGGAGCCCCUAUCCUACAACGCUGAUACUAGACCUCCAGACUUUCCUAUCAAGGAUCAUGUCCUCGGAAACCCGCAUUCUAGCCAUGUCAUGCCUAAUCACCUCUCCCCCCAUAAAUGAGACACAAUCCAAAACACAAAUCAUGUAUGAAUAGCUCUAUCAAGUCUCACCCAACCCCGGGCGAGUAGUACGAAAAACUAUAGGGGCCCCUAUCCUACAACCCUGAUACUAGACCUCCAGACUUUCCUAUCAAGGGCCAUGUCCUCGGAAACCUGUAUUCUAGCCAUGUCAUGCCUAAUCACCUCUCCCCAAUACCUCUUAGGCCUCCCUUUGCCUCGCCGAACGCCGACCAUCGC
RNAcentral lists this long non-coding RNA (463 nucleotides) under Nicotiana benthamiana. RNAcentral's name for it is "long non-coding RNA (NBEN_LNC005169)". Lineage: Eukaryota; Viridiplantae; Streptophyta; Magnoliopsida; Solanales; Solanaceae. The record is from RNAcentral.